Molecule: ribosomal RNA, 497 nt
Filed under: uncultured bacterium
Lineage: Bacteria
Description: partial 16S ribosomal RNA
Rfam family: Bacterial small subunit ribosomal RNA
Source: RNAcentral
GACGAACGCUGGCGGCGUGCCUAAUACAUGCAAGUUGAGCGCUGAAGGUUGGUACUUGUACCAACUGGAUGAGCAGCGAACGGGUGAGUAACGCGUGGGGAAUCUGCCUUUGAGCGGGGGACAACAUUUGGAAACGAAUGCUAAUACCGCAUAAAAACUUUAAACACAAGUUUUAAGUUUGAAAGAUGCAAUUGCAUCACUCAAAGAUGAUCCCGCGUUGUAUUAGCUAGUUGGUGAGGUGAAGGCUCACCAAGGCGAUGAUACAUAGCCGACCUGAGAGGGUGAUCGGCCACAUUGGGACUGAGGCACGGCCCAAACUCCUACGGGAGGCAGCAGUAGGGAAUCUUCGGCAAUGGACGAAAGUCUGACCGAGCAACGCCGCGUGAGUGAAGAAGGUUUUCGGAUCGUAAAACUCUGUUGGUAGAGAAGAACGUUGGUGAGAGUGGAAAGCUCAUCAAGUGACGGUAACUACCCAGAAAGGGACGGCUAACUACGUG